This 495-nucleotide ribosomal RNA is filed under the name uncultured bacterium. Its description in RNAcentral is "partial 16S ribosomal RNA". It matches the Rfam family "Bacterial small subunit ribosomal RNA", at positions 28 to 507 of the family's 1533-position model. The record is from RNAcentral.
GAUGAACGCUGGCGGCGUGCCUAAUACAUGCAAGUCGAACGCUGAAGGAGGAGCUUGCUCUUCUGGAUGAGUUGCGAACGGGUGAGUAACGCGUAGGUAACCUGCCUGGUAGCGGGGGAUAACUAUUGGAAACGAUAGCUAAUACCGCAUGACAACAGUUAUUGCAUGAUAACUGUUUAAAAGGGGCAACUGCUCCACUACCAGAUGGACCUGCGUUGUAUUAGCUAGUUGGUGAGGUAACGGCUCACCAAGGCGACGAUACAUAGCCGACCUGAGAGGGUGAUCGGCCACACUGGGACUGAGACACGGCCCAGACUCCUACGGGAGGCAGCAGUAGGGAAUCUUCGGCAAUGGACGGAAGUCUGACCGCGCAACGCCGCGUGAGUGAAGAAGGUUUUCGGAUCGUAAAGCUCUGUUGUAAGAGAAGAACGAGUGUGAGAGUGGAAAGUUCACACUGUGACGGUAUCUUACCAGAAAGGGACGGCUAACUACGUG